GCGCUGCAUUAGCUAGUUGGUAAGGUAACGGCUUACCAAGGCAACGAUGCAUAGCCGACCUGAGAGGGUGAUCGGCCACACUGGAACUGAGACACGGUCCAGACUCCUACGGGAGGCAGCAGUAGGGAAUCUUCCGCAAUGGGCGAAAGCCUGACGGAGCAACGCCGCGUGAGUGAUGAAGGUCUUCGGAUCGUAAAACUCUGUUAUUAGGGAAGAACAUAUGUGUAAG
Molecule: ribosomal RNA, 229 nt
Filed under: Staphylococcus aureus
Lineage: Bacteria; Bacillati; Bacillota; Bacilli; Caryophanales; Staphylococcaceae
Description: partial 16S ribosomal RNA
Rfam family: Bacterial small subunit ribosomal RNA
Source: RNAcentral